Rhinichthys klamathensis goyatoka is the source of this 520-nucleotide long non-coding RNA. RefSeq lists it as uncharacterized. The transcript has 2 exons. Lineage: Eukaryota; Metazoa; Chordata; Actinopteri; Cypriniformes; Leuciscidae. The record is from RefSeq and is a predicted model, not a curated record.
CAGUGGAGAUUAACUACUUCAUCAAGUGGGUAACUUUCUAACGUUUCUUGUCAUUUCUGUUUUAGUGGAAAGUAAACGUAUUCCAUUCCAGAUGAUUGCUGUGUGUCAAGUUGCCGGGGAGUGUGCAAAAGGGUCCGGGCAGUUGAGGGUAAUUCACUGUGUCCAUGCCUUUUUAACAAUUUAAGAAGGUUGUCAAGUGCAUUGUGUUUUAUCUGGUAUUCAAUGGCCCAAGUGGACAGCUCUUCUGCCAGUGACAUGUCCUCACUGUCGUCGUCUUCAAGAGUGCAAAUGGUGUUCAGUGUCAGAUGAAUAUCCCCCACAAUUCUGCUCCAUAUCCACUGACAUUACUACUCCGUCAGCACCUUCUGAUUGUUCUUCAAGUGGAAGAUCAAGUGAUUGUACUUCACCGGCUGGAUUAGUCUCCAGGUGAGAUGGCGAUCUGGACAAUGCCUGCCUUGUGGUUCUCCAAGCAUGCACAUAUGUCCUGUGCAUCUCUCUCUUUUCAGAGCUCAUUCUAGGA